This 937-nucleotide long non-coding RNA is filed under the name Chinchilla lanigera (long-tailed chinchilla). RNAcentral describes it as "lncRNA (ENSCLAG00000024092.1)". Lineage: Eukaryota; Metazoa; Chordata; Mammalia; Rodentia; Chinchillidae. The record is from RNAcentral.
AUAACUAUGUUCAAGUACAGCUCUUAGUUUUCCUAAAUAUAGUGAUAAGAAUAUGUUAGAAAGGAGGUUAGACUAGUUAUUGACAGUUUUUACUGCAUGAAACAUUUCUUAAAAUUCUGCCAAGAAGUAUAUAUUUAUUGAAUAUAUUCAGCGGGAAGGAGUGGGAGAGAAUGGGAGGGAGAGAGGGGGAAGAGAGAUCGAGGGCACACAAGUGUGCUUCUCCAAAUGUGCAAAGUUGAGUUAAUGCAGUUAGCCAGUCAUUAAUCACAUUGAUUUCUUCUGCCCUUUUUAUUUCCUUUUUUCAGAUUGCCUUGGUUUCACUGGAUGCCUGUGGUUUAGGUGAGCAUCUGUAGGGGGAAGGCACGAAACAACCAGAAGAGUUAUUGUGCUAUCCACGGUGUCCUGCGACUGCGGCCAUACAGUGGAUUACUAUGUGGAGAAGGCAAAUUUCCAGGCAGACCUAAAGUAGCUGCAGAAUUGAGAUUUCUUGACCUGCAAGAUGGCUGGUUGACCCCACAGAGUCCUCUCAGCUCCAAAUCUGUGCUCAGCUUCAUGCCCUCAGGCAUGGGCCACACCUACACAGGGCGUGGAAGGGAGAGUCAGAGUUCUUCUCCACGUGCCCCAGGUAGGCGAGGGUAGUCGCCACAGAUACAAUCCCAAUUGUGAAGAUAGAAGAUAGAGUCUGUGCAACUACCUGUUAAUGGCAUGUCUUGGACUGAGACCUUUGAAUGUGCAACCAGUACCAAUCAAGAUGCUUUGCAGCCUGCGAUGUGAAGUCCAUACCAGGAGCCCUGGUGGAACAGAAUGUCCCAAAUUUUAAUGUACAGCAUGUGCCCCCUGAGUGUCUUGAUAAAUGCUGGUUCCGACUCAUCUGAUUCUGGUGCAGGCUGAGAUUCUUCAUUUCUGGGAUUAGUGACGCAAAUAGACCCUGCUCCGU